This 677-nucleotide ribosomal RNA is filed under the name Petrolisthes armatus (green porcelain crab). RNAcentral describes it as "bacterial SSU rRNA". It matches the Rfam family "Eukaryotic small subunit ribosomal RNA", at positions 37 to 607 of the family's 1831-position model. Lineage: Eukaryota; Metazoa; Arthropoda; Malacostraca; Decapoda; Porcellanidae. The record is from RNAcentral.
UCAAAGAUUAAGCCAUGCAUGUGCCAGUACAAGCCCAAUGUAAAGGUGAAACCGCGAAUGGCUCAUUAAAUCAGCUGUAAUUCCUUGGAUCUGUAUAUUACCCAACAAGUUCCUUGGAUAACUGUGGUAAUUCUAGAGCUAAUACAUGCCAAUCGAGUUCCUGGCCCCUGAUCUUCUUGUUCCCACCUCUUGACUGAGGAGGGAGAGGACUACGUGGGUGCAAGGACGCUUUUAUUAGUUCACAAAAAAAACCAACUGUCGGGCUCUAGCAGUCCUUCAUUGGAAAUCCCUUGUGAUGACUCUGGAUAACUUUUUGCUGAGUGCAAGGCCAUCAUUACAAAAUGAUGAUGCGCCAGUGCCGCAUCUUUCAAGUGUCUGCCUUAUCAGCUUUCGAUUGUAUGCUAUGUGCUUACAAUGGCUAUAACGGGUGACGGGGAAUCAGGGUUCGAUUCCGGAGAGGGAGCCUGAGAAACGGCUACCACAUCUAAGGAAGGCAGCAGGCACGCAAAUUACCCACUCCCAGCACGGGGAGGUAGUGACGAAAAAUAACAAUGUGAGACUCAUCCGAGGCCUCGCAAUUGGAAUGAGUACACUUUAAAUCCUUUAACGAGGACCAAUUGGAGGGCAAGUCUGGUGCCAGCAGCCGCGGUAAUUCCAGCUCCAAUAGCAUAUAUUAA